AGGAGCCGGAUGAGCUGAGAGGUUCACGUCCGGAUCUGUGAGGGCCUAGGGGUGAGAUUCCCCUGGGCUACUCGAC
This is a non-coding RNA of Desulfobulbus propionicus DSM 2032, 76 nucleotides long. NCBI's taxonomy places the organism in Bacteria, Pseudomonadati, Thermodesulfobacteriota, Desulfobulbia, Desulfobulbales, Desulfobulbaceae. The record is from Rfam.